AUCGAACGCUGGCGGCAGGCUUAACACAUGCAAGUCGAGCGGACCUUUCGGGGUCACCGGCGGACGGGGGAGUAACGCGUGGGAACGUGCCUUCCAGUUCGGAAUAACCCUGGGAAACUAGUGCUAAUACCGGAUCCGAUAUUAUGUGGAAAGGUUUACUGCCGGAAGAUCGGCCCGCGACUGAUUAGCUAGUUGGUGGGGUAACGGCCUACCAAGGCGACGAUCAGUAGCUGGUCUGAGAGGAGGAGCAGCGACACUGGGACUGAGACACGGCCCAGACUCCUACGGGAGGCAGCAGUGGGGAAUAUUGGAAAAUGGGCGCAAGCCUGAUCCAGCCAUGCCGCGUGAGUGAUGAAGGCCUUAGGGUUGUAAAGCUCUUUUAUCCGGGACGAUAAUGACGGUACCGGAGGAAUAAGCCCCGGCUAACUUCGUG
RNAcentral lists this ribosomal RNA (433 nucleotides) under uncultured bacterium. RNAcentral describes it as "partial 16S ribosomal RNA". It matches the Rfam family "Bacterial small subunit ribosomal RNA", at positions 30 to 507 of the family's 1533-position model. The record is from RNAcentral.